AAAGAUCUUAGAGCUAAUACGCAAAGUCGGGGAUCCUAAAAACAUACCGAAAGAACUUAGAGCUAAUACACAUAGUCGGGGAUCAUAAAAACGACCGAUAGAACUUAGAGCUAAUACGCAAAGUCGAGGAUCAUAAAAACGGCCGAAAGAAAUUAGAGCUAAUACGCAAAGUCGGGGAUCAUAGAAACGACCGAAAAAACUUAGAGCUAAUACGCAAAGUCGGGGAUCAUAAAAACGACCGAAAUAACAUAGAGCUAAUACGCAAAGUCGGGGAUCAUAAACCGACCGAAAGAACUUAGACCUAAUACGCAAAGUUAGGAAUAAAAAAAACGACCGAAAGAACUUAGAGCUAAUACACAAUGUCGGGGAUCUUAGAAACGACCGAAAGAAUUUAGAGCUAAUACGCAAAGUCGGGGAUCAUAAAAACGACUAAAAGAACUUAGAGAUAAUAUGCAAAGUCGGGGAUCAUAAAAAAGAUCGAAAGAACUUAGAGCUAAUACGCAAAGUCGGGAUCAUAAAAACGACCGAAAGAGCAGAGCUCGUGCAUGAGAAGAAACUGUUACUAAGCUCUCGUCUAAUGCCAUGAAAGAGAAGAACAUGAAGUAGGAAUUUGUUUAAAAAU
Molecule: long non-coding RNA, 622 nt
Filed under: Capsella rubella
Lineage: Eukaryota; Viridiplantae; Streptophyta; Magnoliopsida; Brassicales; Brassicaceae
Description: long non-coding RNA (CRUB_LNC000378)
Source: RNAcentral